RNAcentral lists this ribosomal RNA (465 nucleotides) under Vreelandella stevensii. RNAcentral describes it as "partial 16S ribosomal RNA". It matches the Rfam family "Bacterial small subunit ribosomal RNA", at positions 338 to 795 of the family's 1533-position model. The record is from RNAcentral. Lineage: Bacteria; Pseudomonadati; Pseudomonadota; Gammaproteobacteria; Oceanospirillales; Halomonadaceae.
CCUACGGGGGGCAGCAGUGGGGAAUAUUGGACAAUGGGCGAAAGCCUGAUCCAGCCAUGCCGCAUGUGUGAAGAAGGCCUUCGGGUUGUAAAGCACUUUCAGUGGGGAAGAAAGCCUUGGGGCUAAUACCCUCGAGGAAGGACAUCACCCACAGAAGAAGCACCGGCUAACUCCGUGCCAGCAGCCGCGGUAAUACGGAGGGUGCGAGCGUUAAUCGGAAUUACUGGGCGUAAAGCGCGCGUAGGCGGUCUGAUAAGCCGGUUGUGAAAGCCCCGGGCUCAACCUGGGAACGGCAUCCGGAACUGUCAGGCUAGAGUGCAGGAGAGGAAGGUAGAAUUCCCGGUGUAGCGGUGAAAUGCGUAGAGAUCGGGAGGAAUACCAGUGGCGAAGGCGGCCUUCUGGACUGACACUGACGCUGAGGUGCGAAAGCGUGGGUAGCAAACAGGAUUAGAUACCCGAGUAGUC